RNAcentral lists this ribosomal RNA (497 nucleotides) under uncultured bacterium. RNAcentral describes it as "partial 16S ribosomal RNA". It matches the Rfam family "Bacterial small subunit ribosomal RNA", at positions 28 to 507 of the family's 1533-position model. The record is from RNAcentral.
GAUGAACGCUGGCGGCGUGCCUAAUACAUGCAAGUCGAGCGAACAGACGAGGAGCUUGCUCCUCUGACGUUAGCGGCGGACGGGUGAGUAACACGUGGAUAACCUACCUAUAAGACUGGGAUAACUUCGGGAAACCGGAACUAAUACCGGAUAAUAUAUUGAACCGCAUGGUUCAAUAGUGAAAGACGGUUUUGCUGUCACUUAUAGAUGGAUCCGCGCCGCAUUAGCUAGUUGGUAAGGUAACGGCUUACCAAGGCAACGAUGCGUAGCCGACCUGAGAGGGUGAUCGGCCACACUGGAACUGAGACACGGUCCAGACUCCUACGGGAGGCAGCAGUAGGGAAUCUUCCGCAAAGGGCGAAAGCCUGACGGAGCAACGCCGCGUGAGUGAUGAAGGUCUUCGGAUCGUAAAACUCUGUUAUUAGGGAAGAACAAAUGUGUAAGUAACUAUGCACGUCUUGACGGUACCUAAUCAGAAAGCCACGGCUAACUACGUG